GACAAUGUGGUGUUCGGGUGUGUACCUGGGAGUGCUUGCCUACUCGAAGUCCAACUCCGAUUAUGGCUAGGACCAGGCCCAGAGCGGGUGUAAGGCCCGUGCGGGUAGGUUAGUGAUGUUUGAAGCACUCCUCAGAUGUACAUGCUCUCGAGUCGGAUUGCUUGAGAAUGCAGUCCAAAGUGGGUGGUAAACUCCAUCCAAGGCUAAAUACUGGCACGAGUCCGAUAGUAGACAAGUACCGUGAGGGAAAGUUGAAAAGUACUCUGAAGAGAGAGUAAAUAGCACGUGAAGCCGCUUGCAGGGAAGCUGGUGGAGUCAAGCUUCUUGUUCAGAGGAUUGUCAUCAUGGACCAUUGCUGUUGUUUGGAGCGUGAUAGUGGUGAGCCUGGAAAGGGUUUGGCGUGCUUCGGUGCGUUUCAAGUCAUUCCGGGAUGGAUGUUUGUGCCGCUAUCUAUCCUCCUGGUCCUGGUGCUUUAUUCUCUGUGA
This 485-nucleotide ribosomal RNA is filed under the name Dactylogyrus lamellatus. Its description in RNAcentral is "eukaryotic LSU rRNA". It matches the Rfam family "Eukaryotic large subunit ribosomal RNA", at positions 139 to 586 of the family's 3401-position model. The record is from RNAcentral. Lineage: Eukaryota; Metazoa; Platyhelminthes; Monogenea; Dactylogyridea; Dactylogyridae.